UGGUCCUGACCUGGUACCGAAGCUGGAGC
RNAcentral lists this non-coding RNA (29 nucleotides) under Rattus norvegicus (Norway rat). The record is from RNAcentral. Lineage: Eukaryota; Metazoa; Chordata; Mammalia; Rodentia; Muridae.